This is a non-coding RNA of Cinara cedri, 295 nucleotides long. The record is from the annotation of a GenBank genome assembly. Lineage: Eukaryota; Metazoa; Arthropoda; Insecta; Hemiptera; Aphididae.
CAGGUCAACCAGCGUGUGUGGAGACGUUCCGGUGUACCGUACAGUGUCACUAAAAAAAGUUGACAUUUUGUGCCGGUCGCCUGUGCAAGGUUGAAAAAAACUGCACAGGUCUAUUUCCACACACGUUCCGGCCUACCUGCGCAGGCAUACUUAUGCAGGUAUAGGUAAAAUCACUGGUCUCAGCAAAAGCACGGGGAAAUGAGCGUCGAAAACUGCAGUCGUUCGAUAUGGGACGACAUCCGUUUCCAGCGGGGGAGAAUACUUUGACUGCGUGUGUCAUACACUCGAACGUCAU